This 253-nucleotide ribosomal RNA is filed under the name uncultured bacterium. RNAcentral describes it as "partial 16S ribosomal RNA". It matches the Rfam family "Bacterial small subunit ribosomal RNA", at positions 524 to 776 of the family's 1533-position model. The record is from RNAcentral.
UACAGAGGGGGCUAGCGUUGCUCGGAAUCACUGGGCGUAAAGGGUGCGUAGGCGGGUUUUUAAGUCAGGGGUGAAAUCUUGGAGCUUAACUCCGAAACUGCAUUCGAUACUGCCGUGCUUGAGGACUGGAGAGGAGACUGGAAUUUACGGUGUAGCGGUGAAAUGCGUAGAUAUCGUAAGGAAGACCAGUGGCGAAGGCGGGUCUCUGGACAGUUCCUGACGCUGAGGCACGAAGGCCAGGGGAGCAAACGGG